UGAGGAAUAUUGGUCAAUGGGCGUAAGCCUGAACCAGCCAAGUAGCGUGCAGGAUGACGGCCCUAUGGGUUGUAAACUGCUUUUGUAUGGGGAUAAAGUCAAUCACGUGUGAUUGUUUGCAGGUACCAUACGAAUAAGGACCGGCUAAUUCCGUGCCAGCAGCCGCGGUAAUACGGAAGGUCCGGGCGUUAUCCGGAUUUAUUGGGUUUAAAGGGAGCGUAGGCCGGAGAUUAAGUGUGUUGUGAAAUGUAGACGCUCAACGUCUGACUUGCAGCGCAUACUGGUUUCCUUGAGUACGCACAACGUUGGCGGAAUUCGUCGUGUAGCGGUGAAAUGCUUAGAUAUGACGAAGAACUCCGAUUGCGAAGGCAGCUGACGGGAGCGCAACUGACGCUUAAGCUCGAAGGUGCGGGUAUCGAACAGGAUUAGAUACCCUGGUAGUCCGCACAGUAAACGAUGGAUGCCCGCUGUUGGUACCUGGUAUCAGCGGCUAAGCGAAAGCAUUAAGCAUCCCACCUGGGGAGUACGCCGGCAACGGUG
This 540-nucleotide ribosomal RNA is filed under the name uncultured bacterium. RNAcentral's name for it is "bacterial SSU rRNA". It matches the Rfam family "Bacterial small subunit ribosomal RNA", at positions 355 to 896 of the family's 1533-position model. The record is from RNAcentral.